Molecule: long non-coding RNA, 2378 nt
Organism: Oreochromis niloticus (Nile tilapia)
Lineage: Eukaryota; Metazoa; Chordata; Actinopteri; Cichliformes; Cichlidae
Exons: 3
Source: RefSeq, a predicted model, not a curated record
ACCGGAAACACGUGACCUCCACAGUAACCGGAAACACGUGACCUCCACAGUAACCGGAAACACGUGACCUCCACAGUAGGCAGAAAUACGUUCCUGCGUGGAUCAUCGACUGUGGAAAUCUUGCAAGUGGAUCCUAAAGAUGCUCAUAUCAAAUUGGAAUUCUGCCUCCAAUCCAGAAUUGCAGGAAUGCACAACAUGUUGCAGAAGACUCUUUCACUGCCCUCUGUGCCCCACUUUCAGCCCUACUGUCAAGGCAAAGAUUGAGGAGCAUAUAAAUGGACACAUUAAAAAUGCUUUGCCUUUCAAAGACAAAAUGAUAUACUGGUGCACUUUCACUGCCCUGUCUGUAACAUGACAGUCAUACAGCGUUGGGAUAUGGCAAGGCAAUUUUUCUCAUGUCAGCAUUCAGGACUGCUCCCCACUGAACUCUCUGAGGAGCCCCAUCUCCCUCUCGAUGUCUUGUCUCCAGUAUCUAAACCAUUUUCUGAAUCUUCAGUAGAACAUUCAUGUGUUCUACCCUCUGUGCUAAAUGAAACUGUGGCUUGUAGAAAGUCCUUGAAAAUGAAACGCCCUCACUGUGGUCCUAGUCUUCUUAAAAAAAAAUUCAAGGCUCACAUGGUGAGGAGGCAUUCAAAUAGAUGUUUGCCUGGCUUGUCAUCUGCAGUGUUUUUGUGUAGAGGGACUUCUUCCUCUUUGUUUUUCAGUUUGCAGAGGACAUGGAGCUCUUUUUAAAAGCUUGUGCUGAUGAGCAGGGACUAUGGGUCAAUGCGAUGUUUGACAUUUAAUGGACAGAUGAAGGCACUGGCUGUUUGUUUGUGUUUUUUAUGUGUUGUUGUUGUUUUUCAGUGUACAGAAUUCCAGUUAAACUUAUUAUUAAAUAUUCACUUGUUUCCAUUUUAUAGUAAAAAAAUUAAGUGUAAAUGCAACAGCAUUGUUUGUUGAUAUUAACAUUAAUAUAUUACCCUGUAAUCAAUAAUAUUUUUAUACAUUUUACGCAUUACCCCUCUGGGCUCUAUCCUGGCCAUUUGUGGCUUGACCUCUCUUUUUUUUUUUUUUUUUUUUGACUACUACACUGCAGUGGACCAAAAGAAUGACAUAGGUUUGAUCUUAAGGAUCUAAUACUUGUGUGUGUUUGUGCAUGACAUUGCAACGCAAAUAUGUAUUUGCAAGGUAGACUGAAAUAAAUAAUGACUCAUCAAAUAUUACACAGGCUGCAGUGAAUUUUUGUUGAUACUGGCUAUUGAGAUUUGAGUUUCCCAGUCAAACUUAGCUUUGAAGCACAUGCUAAAAACACUUUUACUCUUGUACAUUUCAUAAAAAGACACCAUAGCCAAAAUAUUAACAAAAUAUAUAUUAAUAAAAAAUUCAAAGCUGCAGCACAUACAGCAACAAACACUGUUAGUAAAUGUGUCCGGGAGUUUAUGCAGGUGCAGAAAGUGCUGUUGCUGUAAGUAAGCCUAACAGCUUCCAGAUCACUUAUUUUUCUGGAAAGAUGGUAGGAAGGGCAUCACUGCUCAUUUCUACAAUCUCCCAGAUCUUGGAAUACAAUGCCUUUGUACCAUGAAACCACUUCACAGUAGUCCACUAAAACCUAUAAAGAGAGUGAUCCUGGAAGAAAUGGGGCACACACUAGUGACCUCAACAAUUGCAAGACAGCCUUUUCCCCGAUGCUCAGAUGGGGCGGGAGGAAGUUUCAUGAAAACGUUAGGACUUUAUCACCGUUUUAUCUGAAAAGUUAAUGGUAAUAUAUAACCUAACUGACUAUAAAGAGUAAAAAAUUUAAAUACAAUUUUGAUUUUGAUGAAAAGGAUUUUUAAAGAGUCACGUCGGUAAAAGUAGAUAAAUGUUUUAAGAAAUAUACAUUUUAUAGCAUUUUGUGAACAUACACAAAAAGUGGCCAUUUUUGGCAACGAACAAACUGAGAGAAAGUUUUAUAUUUUUUGCUCUCCUUGAACAAAAAUAAGAGUGCAUAAUAAUCAGUGUUGAUGUUAAUCAAUUAAAUGUCCCAGACUCUACUAUUAAUAAUACAGCAGUCCCUCGUUUAUCGCUGGUGUUACGUUCUAAAAAUAACCCGCGCGCGGUAGGUGAAAUCCCUGAAGUAGCCAACUUUAUUUUUUACAAUUAUAGAUGUUAAGACUGUAAAACCCCUCACCACAUGCUUUAUACACUUUUCUCAGACAGGCAUGAACAUUUUCACAAUGUUCUCUUUUGUUUAAACACUCUUAGAGUUCAAACCUUCGUAGAAACAUAAGUCCAGUAUUAUGGAAUGAAACCAAAAGGUGCCUUUGGCGGUGCAAAACGUAUCGUCGGCAUUGUUGUGUUUGUUUGGGAGAAAACCUACAAACAUACAGUACAGCACUUCAGAGUUACACUGCUAG